Non-coding RNA from Triticum aestivum (bread wheat), 135 nucleotides. The record is from Rfam. Lineage: Eukaryota; Viridiplantae; Streptophyta; Magnoliopsida; Poales; Poaceae.
CAUAUACUCCCUCCGUCUGGAAAUACUUGUCAUCAAAAUGGAUAAAAGGAGAUGUAUCUAGACCUAUUUUAGUUUUAGAUACAACCCUUUUUAUCCAUUUUGAUAACAAGUAUUUUCGGAUGGAGGGAGUACAUG